AGGAUUAUAGUUAAUAAUAACAUUUAAUUUGCAUUUAAAAAGUAUUGAAUAAAUCAAUUUAUCUUA
RNAcentral lists this transfer RNA (66 nucleotides) under Neocrepidodera sp. BMNH 848121. RNAcentral's name for it is "tRNA-Ala". The record is from RNAcentral. Lineage: Eukaryota; Metazoa; Arthropoda; Insecta; Coleoptera; Chrysomelidae.